Long non-coding RNA from Homo sapiens (human), 463 nucleotides. Ensembl annotates it as long intergenic non-protein coding RNA 1828. The record is from Ensembl. Lineage: Eukaryota; Metazoa; Chordata; Mammalia; Primates; Hominidae.
CGGCCUUUGGUGCAGCUGUAAGUCGGAUGGAAUCCACCUUCCUGACGUCAGACCCACCCACUGGAACACUGCUCCUCUGACUGGGGCUUCCCUGAAUGGAAACUACAUGUCAUACUGCAAAAGACAGGGUCUCACUAUGUUGCCCAGGCUGGUCUCAAAUUCCUUCUCAAGUGAUCCUCCCACCUCAACCUCCCAAAGUGCUGGGAUUGCAGGCAUGAGCCACUGCACCCAGCAGAAAUUCUUAACGAGGCAAGGCCAACAGAGGCCAUUCAUUCAACAUCACGGCACCAUAGUGGCCUCUUUUUAAGACUCCUCAGGCAAGUAGAACUUAUUUGUCUCAAAGACAUUGUAUCAUGAACCCAAUGUCUAAACUUUCACAUGUGUGUUUUGAAGGAUGUUUUUAAGGAAAGAAAAAUUUCUGUUGUAUAAAUUAUUAAAAUAAAAGUUGCUGUGGUGAUCUUUA